RNAcentral lists this small nucleolar RNA (74 nucleotides) under Loxodonta africana (African savanna elephant). Its description in RNAcentral is "Small nucleolar RNA SNORD112 (ENSLAFG00000032969.1)". Lineage: Eukaryota; Metazoa; Chordata; Mammalia; Proboscidea; Elephantidae. The record is from RNAcentral.
UGGACCAAUGAGGAGAGUGUUUAUUAAACUAAGGAUUAUGAUUAAUCUAGUUCUAAGUGUGCCUGGGGUCUAGU